GACGAACGCUGGCGGCGUGCCUAAUACAUGCAAGUAGAACGCACAGUUUAUACCGUAGCUUGCUACACCAUAGACUGUGAGUUGCGAACGGGUGAGUAACGCGUAGGUAACCUGCCUGGUAGCGGGGGAUAACUAUUGGAAACGAUAGCUAAUACCGCAUAAUAUUGAUUAUUGCAUGAUAAUUAAUUGAAAGGUGCAAUUGCACCACUACCAGAUGGACCUGCGUUGUAUUAGCUAGUAGGUGAGGUAACGGCUCACCUAGGCGACGAUACAUAGCCGACCUGAGAGGGUGAACGGCCACACUGGGACUGAGACACGGCCCAGACUCCUACGGGAGGCAGCAGUAGGGAAUCUUCGGCAAUGGACGAAAGUCUGACCGAGCAACGCCGCGUGAGUGAAGAAGGUUUUCGGAUCGUAAAGCUCUGUUGUAAGAGAAGAACGGGUGUGAGAGUGGAAAGUUCACACUGUGACGGUAUCUUACCAGAAAGGGACGGCUAACUACGUG
This 505-nucleotide ribosomal RNA is filed under the name uncultured bacterium. RNAcentral's name for it is "partial 16S ribosomal RNA". It matches the Rfam family "Bacterial small subunit ribosomal RNA", at positions 28 to 507 of the family's 1533-position model. The record is from RNAcentral.